UAUAUCGGAACGUACCCAAGAGUGGGGGAUAACGUAGCGAAAGUUACGCUAAUACCGCAUACGAUCUAAGGAUGAAAGUGGGGGAUUCGCAAGAACCUCAUGCUCCUGGAGCGGCCGAUAUCUGAUUAGCUAGUUGGUGAGGUAAAGGCUCACCAAGGCGACGAUCAGUAGCUGGUCUGAGAGGACGACCAGCCACACUGGGACUGAGACACGGCCCAG
Molecule: ribosomal RNA, 219 nt
Filed under: uncultured bacterium
Lineage: Bacteria
Description: partial 16S ribosomal RNA
Rfam family: Bacterial small subunit ribosomal RNA
Source: RNAcentral